GACGAACGCUGGCGGCGUGCUUAACACAUGCAAGUCGAGCGGUAAGGCCCUUUCGGGGGUACACGAGCGGCGAACGGGUGAGUAACACGUGGGUGACCUGCCCUCAGCUCUGGGAUAAGCCCGGGAAACUGGGUCUAAUACCGGAUAUGACUUCAUGACGCAUGUUGUGGAGUGGAAAGCCUUGUGCGGCUGAGGAUGGGCCCGCGGCCUAUCAGCUUGUUGGUGGGGUGANGGCCUACCAAGGCGACGACGGGUAGCUGGUCUGAGAGGACGACCAGCCACACUGGAACUGAGACACGGUCCAGACUCCUACGGGAGGCAGCAGGUGGGGAAUCUUGCGCAAUGGGCGAAAGCCUGACGCAGCGACGCCGCGU
This 374-nucleotide ribosomal RNA is filed under the name uncultured bacterium. Its description in RNAcentral is "bacterial SSU rRNA". It matches the Rfam family "Bacterial small subunit ribosomal RNA", at positions 28 to 402 of the family's 1533-position model. The record is from RNAcentral.